CCAAUUUACUCCCAUUGUUUCCACUUUUAGAACAAACAACAAGACUUAGAAUACUCUAUUAAUAAAUCACACAUUGAGCAAAGGAAAGUAACCAUAUCAGAAUCUAACCAUGUAUGAAUAUUGCAAAAGGCGCCGCAAAGUUAUUUCAAAAUACAUAUAGUAUUUUAAAAUAAUUUGUGUGGCGCCCUUAUCAAUACUCGUUCACGUCGUUCCUUCUCAGCCGACACUUCAGAGUGGGGCCGGGUAGCGGUCGAGGCAAUCGAGCCACGGGUUCCUACUGGGCCUCCGAACCCGGCCCAUCGAGCGCCAAACCGCACUGUUACACUUAAACCCGGAUCCGAAAGCCAGCUGCCAGACCCGAUCCCCUCUUUUAACCCGGCCCUUUGCCUCCAAAUAUGCUAGCUCAUACCAAAUGCUACUGCUUGAGGUAUUCCCAAACCUCUGUAGUGUCAUCCUCGAAGCCUCUAUGUUUUGAUCACUGAGCUCUAAAUUCUUCUGAAGCUCAUCGAGCACCGACUUACUGGCAGCAUGCACACAGAAGUGUUCGAAAGCGAGCUUGUAGUCGGGGAUGUAUGGUUUGGCAGCGGUAGCAGUGGAAGAGGCUUUACGGAAGAGGGUGCGGUAGAUGAGGGUGGCGAAGAAGAUGAGUUGCUCGGAGAAGGGGAGGACAAGGGGGCCGAGGGUGGUGAUGUUCGUCUUGAGGGCAUGGCCACCUACUUCCAUAAGGUCACGACUUAUCGCCAGGCCCUUUAUUCUUUGCUCAUCUUCCUCUUGGUAGACACACCUGAAGCUCCUGUCAUCACCUCCUUUGUGUGUCCUCACAACAUGCUCAAGCCUAUACUUCGCCCGUCGGAAGUCCCGUCGGCGGUUCGACAGCAACACCGCCGAGCACCCCAUCCUGAAGAAGCAAUUCGGAAUCAGCAUCGACCGGUUCCUCCCGGUGUACCACGUAAAAUUCACCGCCUCGCUACUGACGACGACGGCAUAAUUGUUCGGGUUUGCCUGCAGCAUGUCCCUUGCCAAGUCAAUGGCGAUAAUCCCCGCACUGCACCCCAUCCCACCGAGGUUGUAGCUGAGUAUGUUGCCUCUCAUCUUAUAGUGGUUGACAAUCAUGGCGGAGAGGGAGGGGGUGGGGUUGAAGAGGCUGCAGUUGACAACGAGGACGCCGACAUCUUUCGGUCGGAUACGACAUUUCUCGAAAAGUUCAUCCAGCGCUCCGAACAUGACAGUGGAGGCCUCAGCGCGGCCUUCCUUCAUGGUGGCGCAGUUGCCCGGGGCCAUGAUGGAUCUGGGAAUGUAGGUCUCGUCGCCGAUACCGGAGGAGUUGAGGAUGCGGGAUUGGAAGGAGAGACUGUCUUCAUCGAAUUUGCCGGAUUUGCGAGCAAGCUCGAUGAACUCCUCUCUUGUCACCUUGAGAUCAUCUGAGGGGCGGUAGCAAGCGAAAUCAAUCAGAUAAAUCGGUCUCGGUCUGGACAUGAAAUACACAGACACCGUGAACACAAGCACUGCAAAGAAGGCGAGCACGGUGGCGAGAUCGUAGCUCGCCUCCUCCCAGACCUGCCGCCAGAGCUCUUCCUUGCUCAGGCUGCCCACCUCGGCCCCGAACACCGCCAGCAGCACCGGUAUCGUGACCAAGUACACCCCAUGGCUGAUCAGGUAGUGAUACCCUAGUUUGACAUAUUUCAAGUUAACCGACUGUAGGAAGUCGGGUAACCGCCUCCGCACACGGACGGAGAAGGUGAGGGAGCCGGCGUCGGGGCCGGUGGCCUCGACGCCGCGGUUGACGAUCUCGGUGGAGAGGAAGGACUCCUCUCCGGCGGGGCGGCGGCCGGCGAUGGAUCUC
This 1843-nucleotide unclassified non-coding RNA is filed under the name Hevea brasiliensis (rubber tree). The record is from RNAcentral. Lineage: Eukaryota; Viridiplantae; Streptophyta; Magnoliopsida; Malpighiales; Euphorbiaceae.